This 937-nucleotide ribosomal RNA is filed under the name uncultured Thermococcales archaeon. RNAcentral describes it as "bacterial SSU rRNA". It matches the Rfam family "Archaeal small subunit ribosomal RNA", at positions 547 to 1478 of the family's 1478-position model. Lineage: Archaea; Methanobacteriati; Methanobacteriota; Thermococci; Thermococcales. The record is from RNAcentral.
AAAUCCCACGGCUCAACCGUGGGGCUCGCUGGGGAUACUGCGGGCCUUGGGACCGGGAGAGGCCGGGGGUACCCCCGGGGUAGGGGUGAAAUCUUAUAAUCCCGGGGGGACCGCCAGUGGCGAAGGCGCCCGGCUGGAACGGGUCCGACGGUGAGGGCCGAAGGCCAGGGGAGCGAACCGGAUUAGAUACCCGGGUAGUCCUGGCUGUAAAGGAUGCGGGCUAGGUGUCGGGCGAGCUUCGAGCUCGCCCGGUGCCGUAGGGAAGCCGUUAAGCCCGCCGCCUGGGGAGUACGGCCGCAAGGCUGAAACUUAAAGGAAUUGGCGGGGGAGCACUACAAGGGGUGGAGCGUGCGGUUCAAUUGGAUUCAACGCCGGGAACCUUACCGGGGGCGACGGCAGGAUGAAGGCCAGGCUGAAGGUCUUGCCGGACGCGCCGAGAGGAGGUGCAUGGCUGCCGUCAGCUCGUACCGUGAGGCGUCCACUUAAGUGUGGUAACGAGCGAGACCCGCGCCCCCAGUUGCCAGUCCCUCCCGCUUGGGAGGGAGGCACUCUGGGGGGACUGCCGGCGAUAAGCCGGAGGAAGGGGCGGGCGACGGUAGGUCAGUAUGCCCCGAAACCCCCGGGCUACACGCGCGCUACAAUGGGCGGGACAAUGGGACCCGACCCCGAAAGGGGAAGGGAAUCCCCUAAACCCGCCCUCAGCUCGGAUCGCGGGCUGCAACUCGCCCGCGUGAAGCUGGAACCCCUAGUACCCGCGCGUCAUCAUCGCGCGGCGAAUACGUCCCUGCUCCUUGCACACACCGCCCGUCACUCCACCCGAGCGGGGCCCGGGUGAGGCCCGAUCUCCUUCGGGAGGUCGGGUCGAGCCCGGGCUCCGUGAGGGGGGAGAAGUCGUAACAAGGUAGCCGUAGGGGAACCUACGGCUCGAUCACCUCCU